UACGGAGGGUGCAAGCGUUGUCCGGAUUUAUUGGGUUUAAAGGGUGCGUAGGCGGCUCUUUAAGUCAGUGGUGAAAGCCGACAGCUUAACUGUCGAAAUGCCAUUGAUACUGGGGAGCUUGAGUACAGUAGAGGUAGGCGGAAUUAAUGGUGUAGCGGUGAAAUGCAUAGAUACCAUUAAGAACACCGAUUGCGAAGGCAGCUUACUAAGCAAACAUUGACGCUGAGGCACGAAAGCGUGGGGAUCAAACAGG
This 253-nucleotide ribosomal RNA is filed under the name uncultured bacterium. Its description in RNAcentral is "partial 16S ribosomal RNA". It matches the Rfam family "Bacterial small subunit ribosomal RNA", at positions 524 to 776 of the family's 1533-position model. The record is from RNAcentral.